GACUUCGGUUGAAGUCGUUAUAAUCCUAGUGGCGGACGGGUGAGUAACGCGUGGGUAACCUGCCUCACACUGGGGGAUAACAGUCAGAAAUGACUGCUAAUACCGCAUAAGCGCACGGGAUUGCAUGAUCCAGAUGUGAAAAACUCCGGUGGUGUGAGAUGGACCCAGCGUUGGAUUAGCCAGUUGGCAGGGUAACGGCCUACCAAAGCGACGAUCCAUAGCCGGCCUGAGAGGGUGGACGGCCACAUUGGGACUGAGACACGGCCCAGACUCCUACGGGAGGCAGCAGUGGGGAAUAUUGCACAAUGGGGGAAACCCUGAUGCAGCGACGCCGCGUGAAGGAAGAAGUAUCUCGGUAUGUAAACUUCUAUCAGCAGGGAAGAAAAUGACGGUACCUGACUAAGAAGCCCCGGCUAACUACGUGCCAGCAGCCGCGGUAAUACGUAGGGGGCAAGCGUUAUCCGGAUUUACUGGGUGUAAAGGGAGCGUAGACGGAGCAGCAAGUCUGAUGUGAAAGGCGGGGGCUCAACCCCCGGACUGCAUUGGAAACUGUUGAUCUUGAGUACCGGAGAGGUAACGCGGAAUUCCUAGUGUAGCCGGUGAAAUGCGUAGAUAUUAGGAGGAACACCAGUGGCGAAGGCGGCUUACUGGACGGUAACUGACG
RNAcentral lists this ribosomal RNA (664 nucleotides) under uncultured Lachnospiraceae bacterium. RNAcentral describes it as "bacterial SSU rRNA". It matches the Rfam family "Bacterial small subunit ribosomal RNA", at positions 73 to 745 of the family's 1533-position model. Lineage: Bacteria; Bacillati; Bacillota; Clostridia; Lachnospirales; Lachnospiraceae. The record is from RNAcentral.